This 296-nucleotide ribosomal RNA is filed under the name uncultured bacterium. RNAcentral describes it as "partial 16S ribosomal RNA". It matches the Rfam family "Bacterial small subunit ribosomal RNA", at positions 335 to 644 of the family's 1533-position model. The record is from RNAcentral.
UUACCUACGGGGCGCAGCAGUGAGGAAUAUUGGUCAAUGGGCGGGAGCCUGAACCAGCCAAGUCGCGUGAAGGAAGAAGGUACUUAGUAUUGUAAACUUCUUUUGUCAGGGACGAAGCAAGUGACGGUACCUGACGAAUAAGCCACGGCUAACUACGUGCCAGCAGCCGCGGUAAUACGUAGGUGGCAAGCGUUAUCCGGAUUUACUGGGUGUAAAGGGCGUGUAGGCGGGGAAGCAAGUCAGAUGUGAAAACCACGGGCUCAACCUGUGGCCUGCAUUUGAAACUGUUUUUCUUG